AUGAUGAAGUCAGAAGCUCUACUGCAGAGAGUGAAGAAAAUAGAGGGAAAAGAUGUGAAGUCACUGAUAUUCAGUGACUCUCAGAGAGGUCUACUCUCAGGUCUGGUCUGCACUGGACUCUACGUUCUCUACUCGGGUCUAUUAACUGCCGAAGACCUCUGGCUAUUAUUUAGCCCUCUGCUUGGGCAGUCUACAAUGGACACCCAGCUGCGGCUCCAUCAGACUCCCCUUCUCUUGAGAAGAGCCCCCUCCAGUUCUUCUUGGAAGUUUGUUCAAGGUCAAGAACAGCCCCAGGAUCAUUGGAAAUAUUGAUUCGUGUCUGCCCAGACACCUUGGCUCGCCAAAUCUCCAUGGUAACCACCUAGGAAAGAGGGAAUCGAGGUUAUGUCCGGCUUUAGAAGAAUUUCAGAGCACCCAGAAAAAUGACUUGGGAUUUAACAGAUAGAUUUUAGCAUUCUUCUUCUUCCAGUUAACAAGUAAUUAUCCUCCUUGGUUUCCUCCUUUUAUUGGGGCUCCCUCCCCACUCCCCAUCAUAUAACAAAUAUAGAUAAGCAAGCACUGUGAAUUUCCUCACUAGUCAUGUCCAAAAAUGUAUUUCUCAUUCUGCCUUGUUGGUCUCUGCCUCACCUCUCUGUUAGGACGUGGGUGGCAUGCUUCGUUUUCAUUCUCCUUUGGUGGUUAUCCAAGUCUAAAUGAGAACUCUGAUUAGACACCACUAGGUAGCUCAAUAGAGACGGUCUAGGGCAUGCAGUCAGGAAGACAUGAGUUCAAAUCCUGCCUCAGAAACUUGUCAUGCAAUGGAUGCUGGGCAAGUCAUUUGGCCUCUGUUGAUCAGGAUAGCACCCAUCUCCCAGGGAUUUUGCAAGGUCUGAAUGAGAAACUAUUGUGUGAAGCAUUUCUCAAACCUUAGAGCACCGGCUAAGUGCUAGCUAGUAUUAUUCGAAUACAUGCCUUUCAAGGCAGUUUUUCUCUAGAACAUUGCUGGCUCUGUAUACAUUGCUCCAGGACUGUCCACGCCGUCCUCUCCGGUAGUCCAGCUGUCUUCCAUUCCAUUGGGAUGGCACCAUCCCUUCAGCGGUGCCCCAGCAGAAGAGCACUCCCUCGGUUUCCAGUCCGGAGGAACUAUGCGCAGAGCCACUGGCACAUAGUGGGGCUUAGUGGGCCCUUCCCCUUCCUUUGAUCUCUGUGGUCAGGGCGAGGCUACAUUGAGAGCCCCCAGACCCAAUGGGAAGCUCUGCAGACAGAGCAAGAAGCCCUUUUACUGAGGAGGACAAAAGGGGUCCGUGGGAAAUCUGACAGCCAGCUCUGCUCUCUGAAAUACGUUUAGCUGAUGAGGCACAAUUGCUGUGAGUGCGGGCAGGGGGCAGAGAACUGGCCUGGGAGGCCGGGAGCCCCGUCCCUGACUGUGGGACCCAGGGCGGGCUCUCUAGGGCUGCUCCAUCCCAGAGAGAUUGCUGGCCUCCGCUUGUAGGGGCAACUUUUUCUCCCCGGGAGUUUCCUUCCGGCGAAAUAGAGCUGCUGUCCCUUCCUUAUGUGGACGAUGAAGCAAGAGCAGGCUGUAGGCGCGGAAGGCGUACAUGCAAGGCUGGGCGGGAGGUGGCCCAGGGCUGGAGCGCCAGGCCUGGAAAUGGGCAGACACGGGGCCCUUCCUAACUCUGUGACGCAGGAACGAGAUCAGAAACAGAGAGCCGCGAGCAGGAAGCUGAAGGCGUCUCUGGGACCGCAGGCAAGACAGAGCUCUGUGGCGAGAUGAGACCUUGGAAGGAGGGAAGCGGACAAAGUUCUGGCAUUGGUCACGGUCUCUCUGACUUCUGGCGAAGGCACGUGCAGCUCAGACCUCGCGCUCUGGGGCAGCAGGGAAGAGAGAACUCGCUUCUUUCCAGACUACGAGAAUGCGAGAAAAAGCCUUCAAAUCUGCUGUGUUGAGGGGCAGCUGGGUGGCUCAGUGGAUGGAGAACCAGCCCUAGAGACGGGAGGUCCUGGGUUCCAAUCUGGCCUCAGCCACUCCCCAGCAGGGUGACCCUGGGCCAGUCCCUUGACCCCCCUGGCCUAGUGACCGCUCUCCUGCCUUGGAGUCAAUACAGAAGGUGAGGGUUUAAAAAAAUCUGCUGUGUUGAACUGUUUGGGAGGAGAAGGACCGAAGGACUGUUUGCCUGAGCUCUGAGAGACGUUUCAGAGAUGCGCUCUGGUCGGAUAGGCUGGGAGACAUUGGGCUAAGCGGCUCUAGGGACUCGGAGACCUUCUUGACCAGUGAAGUUACUUUUGAUAAGGGUUCUAGAUUGGUUUAGUCAGGUCGCCUUUGGGGUUUUGGGUGAAUCUUAAGCAGUUCGGAGUAGCUUGAAGAGGCAGAAGACGUGCCGGGAGGCAAAUGUAGAAGAGCAGUGGAGAAAUGAGUCCCUUAGUUUGGGGCACCCUCACUUUAUGUGUUGUGAUAUGUCGUAAAUAAACAGGGUUUCUGCACACCGUCCGUCUUCA
Long non-coding RNA from Monodelphis domestica (gray short-tailed opossum), 2475 nucleotides. Lineage: Eukaryota; Metazoa; Chordata; Mammalia; Didelphimorphia; Didelphidae. The record is from Ensembl.